This is a long non-coding RNA of Humulus lupulus (European hop), 1187 nucleotides long. RefSeq lists it as uncharacterized. The record is from RefSeq and is a predicted model, not a curated record. The transcript has 5 exons. NCBI's taxonomy places the organism in Eukaryota, Viridiplantae, Streptophyta, Magnoliopsida, Rosales, Cannabaceae.
UUGGUAUGGUCUCAUUCCAUGGCAAGUAUAAUAAAUUAUUUAAUGGCUACAGAAUAGAGAGAAUGGGGGAUUACACUCUUAUAUUUUUUUUAGUGGACAAAUCUUAAUGAAUAGAAAUCUAAAUUUACAAUUAUAUGCUUCACUUUUGUCCCACUACUUGAAAAUUAGCUAAAAACGUGUACUUUGAAGACUUAAUAUCUUUAUUCAACUUUAAUAAAUCAAAAUUUAAUAAACGUCUCUUUUUGAGCUAUUUUUUCUUGUUGGUUUCAGUUCUUUCAAUAAAAUUUUCCAACUUUUGACUUGUGUUAAGGGUUUGACACUGCUGUUGAGGAAGCACAACGAGCCAUUAAUUCAGCUUACAUCGAGUGGCAUUUAAAUCUUGGGAGGAUCAUAGAAAACAACUUGAAUUGGAGAAGGCUCGUAAAUCUGGGCUUGGACCAACAGAGGUUGAUGAAGAUGGCAAAGAGAUUAACUUUCAUAUUCCUCUAUAUGUCAUUUUUGAGAACCGAUGCUGAACAGAGAGAAGUAGAUACCUGGCACUUCAUGUAUACAGCCCCUUGGCUGGGUUUACUUCCCAGUGCUGAUGGGCAAGUAUUACAUUCUCAAGAUGGUGGAGAUAGUCCAAUUCUCAGUCUCUUUAAAUUAGUCACUGCUGCAAUAUUAUCUAAGCCAGGGAAAUCAAAUCCUUGUUUCCUGCCGAUUGCAGUCCAUUCUAAGCUGGUUUAUGAAAUAGAGAUACAGAUGAAGUUAGCUACCUUAAGGUCAAAAUUCCACUAGGAAAAAAUUACUAUGCCUGAAAAUGAGCAAAGUCAGAACUGAAAGAGCUUCUUCAGAGCUUUGGAAGGUUGCUGGUUUAGCUAUUGUUUGUGUUAUAUGUUUCACCUCUAAUGCUUUUGCAGGCAGCAAGAGCAGCUGAUUAUAGUAUUGGGAGUAAGUUGCUGAUACCUAAACCCCUCCUCUCACUUUUUGGAAACUUGACAGAACGAACAGGGUAGAGUGAUUUCUUUGGAGCAAUUCUUGACAACAUUUGUAGUUGAGGCCUUUAGAUUGGAAGAAUGUAUUUCACUAAUUUUUGUAUACAAUUCUUGUUUUGUAUUUAGUGAUAAAGGAAUCUGAAUUGGGCAUAAAUUAUGUUGUAAUAUGAUUUCUUAAGCCUAGACUAGUAGACUGAAUAUUGUAAUUACAUU